CGAACGGCAGCACGGGGGCAACCCUGGUGGCGAGUGGCGAACGGGUGAGUAAUACAUCGGAACGUGUCCUGUAGUGGGGGAUAGCCCGGCGAAAGCCGGAUUAAUACCGCAUACGCUCUACGGAGGAAAGGGGGGGAUCUUAGGACCUCUCGCUACAGGGGCGGCCGAUGGCAGAUUAGCUAGUUGGUGGGGUAAAGGCCUACCAAGGCGACGAUCUGUAGCUGGUCUGAGAGGACGACCAGCCACACUGGGACUGAGACACGGCCCAGACUCCUACGGGAGGCAGCAGUGGGGAAUUUUGGACAAUGGGCGCAAGCCUGAUCCAGCAAUGCCGCGUGUGUGAAGAAGGCCUUCGGGUUGUAAAGCACUUUUGUCCGGAAAGAAAACGUCGUGGUUAAUACCCGUGGCGGAUGACGGUACCGGAAGAAUAAGCACCGGCUAACUACGUGCCAGCAGCCGCGGUAAUACGUAGGGUGCAAGCGUUAAUCGGAAUUACUGGGCGUAAAGCGUGCGCAGGCGGUCCGCUAAGACAGAUGUGAAAUCCCCGGGCUUAACCUGGGAACUGCAUUUGUGACUGGCGGGCUAGAGUAUGGCAGAGGGGGGUAGAAUUCCACGUGUAGCAGUGAAAUGCGUAGAGAUGUGGAGGAAUACCGAUGGCGAAGGCAGCCCCCUGGGCCAAUACUGACGCUCAUGCACGAAAGCGUGGGGAGCAAACAGGAUUAGAUACCCUGGUAGUCCACGCCCUAAACGAUGUCAACUAGUUGUCGGGUCUUCAUUGACUUGGUAACGUAGCUAACGCGUGAAGUUGACCGCCUGGGGAGUACGGUCGCAAGAUUAAAACUCAAAGGAA
This 850-nucleotide ribosomal RNA is filed under the name Burkholderia sp. 66-13. RNAcentral's name for it is "bacterial SSU rRNA". It matches the Rfam family "Bacterial small subunit ribosomal RNA", at positions 63 to 909 of the family's 1533-position model. The record is from RNAcentral. Lineage: Bacteria; Pseudomonadati; Pseudomonadota; Betaproteobacteria; Burkholderiales; Burkholderiaceae.